Molecule: long non-coding RNA, 199 nt
Organism: Lutra lutra (Eurasian river otter)
Lineage: Eukaryota; Metazoa; Chordata; Mammalia; Carnivora; Mustelidae
Exons: 3
Source: RefSeq, a predicted model, not a curated record
UGCAUUAUUCUAGUACAAAAGAAACUCCAAUUUCUUUUGUGCUUCUUUAGCCAUGUGCAUUUUGAAGACAUCUUAAGAUGUUUUAUUUCAAUUAAUCUUCACUAACUUCAGCUAGAGGGACUUAGAAAAUUAAUGAUUAUUCAAAAUUUACAAAGCUAAGGAAGUAUGUAAGAACUUCCAAAUGAGUCCACAUUUCUCC